Molecule: ribosomal RNA, 768 nt
Filed under: Gammarus cf. aequicauda GMS1
Lineage: Eukaryota; Metazoa; Arthropoda; Malacostraca; Amphipoda; Gammaridae
Also listed under: 1 other name
Description: eukaryotic LSU rRNA
Rfam family: Eukaryotic large subunit ribosomal RNA
Source: RNAcentral
AUAGCGAACAAGUACCGUGAGGGAAAGUUGAAAAGCACUCUGGAGAGAGAGUCAAAAGACCGUGAAACCGUUCAGAGUAUAAGCCCAUGGCAGCUUGGAAGGCAUAUCGAUGGCGGGGCAUCGGAACCCUUCUCUCUUUACGAGGGAUUGUGAACUGGUGUUACCUUGUUUCUGUAAUGGCUCGUCAAGGUAGGGGCUUCAAGUAGUCACCGCCGUCGUGCGGGAGGUAUUCAGGCAUGUGUUGGUUUUGCAGUUGGCUUCAUUGUUGGCUGUAGGGCCCUUCGUGUUUGGUGCUUCUUUAACACGGACGUUCAGAGUCAGUAACAAGACGCGAUAAACAGCCCACCACGGCACGUUGUGAGGUCACCCACAGGCUGGACUUUGGAUUGCGAUCCUUGACGCCGAGCAAGCACAAUGCGUGUCGCUGAUAUUCCUUACCAUAAUAUAUGUGGACGGUGGAAUGACACGUGCUCAACAGUCAGGUUCGGGCCAUGACACAGUACUGGUAUGAUCCUCAUGCGACGAGCCGGCUCUGGCCAAAAUUCCGAUGCACAGGUCUUCCGCAUGUGCCGCGGUUGACCGCGCCCUUUGACGGUCUGGACGAGUUAAUUAAAGUCCUCCUAGUCGGGUGUCGGAAAGAGUGGUGUAAAGUCCAAGCCCAUCGGUCACGUCUCGAAACACGGGCCAAGGAGUAUAGCAUGUGUGCAAGUCUAAGGGUCUCACAAAACCUGAAGGCGAAGUGAAAGCAAGUAUGCGGCGGGUGAUCUA